RNAcentral lists this ribosomal RNA (431 nucleotides) under uncultured bacterium. Its description in RNAcentral is "partial 16S ribosomal RNA". It matches the Rfam family "Bacterial small subunit ribosomal RNA", at positions 29 to 504 of the family's 1533-position model. The record is from RNAcentral.
AGCGAACGCUGGCGGCAGGCCUAACACAUGCAAGUCGAACGAACCUUUCGGGGUUAGUGGCGGACGGGUGAGUAACACGUGGGAACGUGCCUUUAGGUUCGGAAUAACUCAGGGAAACUUGUGCUAAUACCGAAUGUGCCCUUCGGGGGAAAGAUUUAUCGCCUUUAGAGCGGCCCGCGUCUGAUUAGCUAGUUGGUUGAGGUAAUGGCUCACCAAGGCGACGAUCAGUAGCUGGUCUGAGAGGAUGAUCAGCCACAUUGGGACUGAGACACGGCCCAAACUCCUACGGGAGGCAGCAGUGGGGAAUCUUGCGCAAUGGGCGAAAGCCUGACGCAGCCAUGCCGCGUGAAUGAUGAAGGUCUUAGGAUUGUAAAAUUCUUUCACCGGGGACGAUAAUGACGGUACCCGGAGAAGGAGCCCCGGCGAACUUC